RNAcentral lists this ribosomal RNA (549 nucleotides) under Triticum aestivum (bread wheat). RNAcentral's name for it is "partial small subunit ribosomal RNA". Lineage: Eukaryota; Viridiplantae; Streptophyta; Magnoliopsida; Poales; Poaceae. The record is from RNAcentral.
AUGGAUUGGUGGAAAAUAUGUGUCCCAAAGAAUCAAGGAGGAUUGGGAUUUCGAGAUAUCCACCGUUUCAAUCUGGUGCUGUUGGCAAAACAGGCUUGGCUCCUUCUUGAGAACCCUGACUCUUUAUGUGCUAUUAUUUUGAGAGUCGAGUACUAUCCUGAUGGUGAUUUAAUGAACACAAAGUUCUAAAAGAGACGCUCUUUUACUUGACAAAGCAUUAUGGCGGGAGUGAAUUCUCUGAAGCAGGGUUAUAUUUGGUGAGUUGGAAAUGGUAAGAAAAUUGGUAUUUGGAAAGAUUCGUGGAUUUCCAAUUGUCUCUCCGGGAAAGUUAUCACUCCUAGAGGGAGUCACUUAUUAUCUAGGGUCUCAGAUUUUAUUGAUCCGACUUCUAAUAACUGGGAUGAAAAUCUAGUCAGGCAAACUUUGUGGCCUAUUUAUGCUCAAUAGGUCCUUGCUAUCCAUCUCCCUCAACAUGACAUGGAAGAUUUUAUCGCCUGGAACUUCAUGAAAAAUAGUUUGUUUUUUGUAUGGUCAGCUUAUUUUGUGUAA